UUUUAUGGAGAGUUUGAUCCUGGCUCAGGAUGAACGCUGGCGGCGUGCCUAAUACAUGCAAGUCGAGCGAACAGACGAGGAGCUUGCUCCUCUGACGUUAGCGGCGGACGGGUGAGUAACACGUGGAUAACCUACCUAUAAGACUGGGAUAACUUCGGGAAACCGGAGCUAAUACCGGAUAAUAUAUUGAACCGCAUGGUUCAAUAGUGAAAGACGGUUUUGCUGUCACUUAUAGAUGGAUCCGCGCCGCAUUAGC
This 256-nucleotide ribosomal RNA is filed under the name Staphylococcus epidermidis NIHLM095. Its description in RNAcentral is "partial 16S ribosomal RNA". It matches the Rfam family "Bacterial small subunit ribosomal RNA", at positions 1 to 245 of the family's 1533-position model. Lineage: Bacteria; Bacillati; Bacillota; Bacilli; Caryophanales; Staphylococcaceae. The record is from RNAcentral.